GGCGUUUUGAGGAGAUAAUGUACCAAGCUGACGAGUCUGAGCAUCAUACAGCAGAGGGUGCACCAAAUGUGUCGAGUCAUUCCGAUUGCCUGAAUUAUCCUGAAAUAUGGGGACAUCAUGAAAGCCGUGAACUUAGUUCAAUGAGCUCACGACAAAGCCAUUCGGAUGAAGAUUACGAGAAAACAGAUCAACCAGUUACAGUCAUGGACACAAAAGAAAUGAUAAUGGAAAGUAAAACUGCUCCUCAUACGAGACGUACGCUUAGGAGCCUGAUGAAUUCCCUUUCUUUCUCAGAAACCGCUUCUCCUCCAGAUAUUAAUGAGAAUGAUGUCCAACAAGAAAUGAGAUGGAUUAAAGCCAAG
RNAcentral lists this unclassified non-coding RNA (362 nucleotides) under Hevea brasiliensis (rubber tree). The record is from RNAcentral. Lineage: Eukaryota; Viridiplantae; Streptophyta; Magnoliopsida; Malpighiales; Euphorbiaceae.